GCUCGCGUAGCUCAGCUGGAUAGAGCGCACCCCUCCGGAGGGUGAGGCCGCAGGUUCGAAUCCUGCCGCGAGCGCCA
RNAcentral lists this transfer RNA (77 nucleotides) under Planctomycetota bacterium. RNAcentral's name for it is "tRNA-Arg". It matches the Rfam family "tRNA". From Rfam's summary of the family: Transfer RNA (tRNA) molecules are approximately 80 nucleotides in length. The record is from RNAcentral. RNAcentral also lists the same sequence under 1 other name. Lineage: Bacteria; Pseudomonadati; Planctomycetota.